Amaranthus tricolor (Joseph's coat) is the source of this 639-nucleotide long non-coding RNA. RefSeq lists it as uncharacterized. The record is from RefSeq and is a predicted model, not a curated record. The transcript has 3 exons. Lineage: Eukaryota; Viridiplantae; Streptophyta; Magnoliopsida; Caryophyllales; Amaranthaceae.
AAAAAUAAAUUUCUACACUCUUCAUUUACUUCAUAUUCACAAUUCCUCUCAUUCAACUAAAUUUAUCAACUACAUUCUCAUCUUCUCCUUCUUUACUUGUUUACUUUCAUCAUCAUUUAAGCGAUAAUGGCGAUGCCGGGUCCAGUUGAUCCAUCAGUACUUACGUUUCAGGCGACACACAAGAGCUUAGCUGCCUGGGAGGGCUCCACUGCCCAGUUGGUUACUCGUCAGCACUACCAGGCGAGUACGUUACAUUGGGAGGUGGAUGAUAGAGUAUUAGAGGUAGUGGAAUUAGCUGGUUUUAGAUACAUUCACAGGUUAUUACAGAUAUGGUCGUGGGAGCAUAUUCAUAUAGGGAGGCCUACAAUUAGGACGAUUCGACCCGCUGGGCAACAUGAUCAGGAAGAUGACGCGGAGGAUUUUGAACCGAUGUUAGGUUCAUAGCAUCGUCGUGGGAUGGAUCCUUUAGCAGUAAGCUGGCUUCGCGUAUAUCUUUCGAGGUCCCACUUCCCACAUACUCUCGUCUACUACAGAGACGCACUUGAUCGUCAACGGGACAAGCAGGUUAUUAAUGUCAUUGCGGAGUUUGACGAGUGUACUUCAUCAUCAUCCACCGAUGCGCAAAACAAAAGGGGCCGG